RNAcentral lists this ribosomal RNA (254 nucleotides) under uncultured bacterium. Its description in RNAcentral is "partial 16S ribosomal RNA". It matches the Rfam family "Bacterial small subunit ribosomal RNA", at positions 524 to 776 of the family's 1533-position model. The record is from RNAcentral.
UACAGAGGUGCCAAGCGUUAGGCGGAAUCACUGGGCUUAAAGCGCGUGUAGGCGGGUCGUUAAGUGUCCGAGUGAAAUCCCACGGCUCAACCGUGGAACUGCCGGGCAUACUGGCGAUCUUGAGGCAUUCAGGGGCGAGCGGAACAAAUGGUGGAGCGGUGAAAUGCGUAGAUAUCGUCUGGAACGCCGAAGGUGAAAACAGCUCGCUGGGGCCGCGCUGACGCUGAGACACGAAAGCCAGGGGAGCGAACGGG